GCCUGAUGGAGGGGGAUAACUACUGGAAACGGUAGCUAAUACCGCAUGACGUCGCAAGACCAAAGUGGGGGACCUUCGGGCCUCACGCCAUCGGAUGAACCCAGAUGGGAUUAGCUGGUAGGUGGGGUAACGGCUCACCUAGGCGACGAUCCCUAGCUGGUCUGAGAGGAUGACCAGCCACACUGGAACUGAGACACGGUCCAGACUCCUACGGGAGGCAGCAGUGGGGAAUAUUGCACAAUGGGGGAAACCCUGAUGCAGCCAUGCCGCGUGUGUGAAGAAGGCCUUCGGGUUGUAAAGCACUUUCAGCGGGGAGGAAGGGAGCAGGGUUAAUAACCUUGUUCAUUGACGUUACCCGCAGAAGAAGCACCGGCUAACUCCGUGCCAGCAGCCGCGG
RNAcentral lists this ribosomal RNA (397 nucleotides) under Dickeya dianthicola. RNAcentral's name for it is "bacterial SSU rRNA". It matches the Rfam family "Bacterial small subunit ribosomal RNA", at positions 128 to 520 of the family's 1533-position model. The record is from RNAcentral. Lineage: Bacteria; Pseudomonadati; Pseudomonadota; Gammaproteobacteria; Enterobacterales; Pectobacteriaceae.